CCUCCCUCCCCUCCCCCUCGCCUGCCGGCUCUGUCUCUCCCGCGCCUGGAGACCAGCUCUGUGGCGCCUUCCCGCCUUCCCCUCUUCCUGGUCUCCGUCAGUCAGGAGCCGCUGUCCCCCUGUGAGCAAACUCGCAUUUAUGUUGGCCAGGUGUCUGAUUUCACCAUGUCUGGACUACCAAGGUCACUGGACAUCCUCCCACCUGCCCUCUGACCCACCCUGAGAACGCGGACAACAGAGAUGCCUCUUCCCUGGACUUCCACUGAGUUCCCAAGAUGACACCAAACAAGCCUUCAUCUUGGAUGUGUUUUUGGUGGGAGAGGGGAAGUUCAAGAAACACUGCUGCUAAUGACAAGGAAUCUGAAUAUACUAGGAGGUACCUCAAGAUAGACUCUGAGGGAAAAUGUCCUAGGAGGCAGCUGCCCACAACAAGAAAAACAAGGAGUCAACCCACUCCAAGCAGAUGGGGGAAUCUCGGCAGUGUCUCCUGCCAGCUGGACCUGGAGGAAGGAGGUGCUCAAGAGGUCCCGGUUGUGAGGACUCUGUCUUGA
RNAcentral lists this long non-coding RNA (551 nucleotides) under Ursus maritimus (polar bear). RNAcentral describes it as "lncRNA (ENSUMAG00000007187.1)". Lineage: Eukaryota; Metazoa; Chordata; Mammalia; Carnivora; Ursidae. The record is from RNAcentral.